RNAcentral lists this ribosomal RNA (477 nucleotides) under uncultured organism. Its description in RNAcentral is "partial 16S ribosomal RNA". It matches the Rfam family "Bacterial small subunit ribosomal RNA", at positions 331 to 799 of the family's 1533-position model. The record is from RNAcentral.
GUACACUCCUACGGGAGGCAGCAGUGGGGAAUUUUGGACAAUGGGCGAAAGCCUGAUCCAGCAAUGCCGCGUGCAGGAUGAAGGCCUUCGGGUUGUAAACUGCUUUUGUACGGAACGAAAAAGCUCCUUCUAAUACAGGGGGCCCAUGACGGUACCGUAAGAAUAAGCACCGGCUAACUACGUGCCAGCAGCCGCGGUAAUACGUAGGGUGCGAGCGUUAAUCGGAAUUACUGGGCGUAAAGCGUGCGCAGGCGGUUAUGUAAGACAGAUGUGAAAUCCCCGGGCUCAACCUGGGAACUGCAUUUGUGACUGCAUGGCUAGAGUACGGUAGAGGGGGAUGGAAUUCCGCGUGUAGCAGUGAAAUGCGUAGAUAUGCGGAGGAACACCGAUGGCGAAGGCAAUCCCCUGGACCUGUACUGACGCUCAUGCACGAAAGCGUGGGGAGCAAACAGGAUUAGAAACCCCAGUAGUCCCAUG